GACGAACGCUGGCGGCGUGCUUAACACAUGCAAGUCGAACGCACGGCCUUGGGGUUUUCUUGGGGUUGGUGAGUGGCGAACGGGUGAGUAACACGUGAGUAACCUGCCCCCUUCUUUGGGAUAACGUCUGGAAACGGACGCUAAUACCGCAUGACAUACGGACAUGGCAUCAUGAUCGUAUCAAAGGAGCAAUCCGCUUUAAGAUGGACUCGCGUCCAAUUAGCUAGUUGGUGAGGUAACGGCCCACCAAGGCGACGAUUGGUAGCCGGACUGAGAGGUUGAACGGCCACAUUGGGACUGAGACACGGCCCAG
RNAcentral lists this ribosomal RNA (313 nucleotides) under uncultured bacterium. RNAcentral describes it as "bacterial SSU rRNA". It matches the Rfam family "Bacterial small subunit ribosomal RNA", at positions 28 to 334 of the family's 1533-position model. The record is from RNAcentral.